UUAAUCAAAGCUUUGAUAAGCAAAACAUUGUUAAUGUUUAGAAGGGGACCCCCCCUCCCCUGAUUAAU
Molecule: transfer RNA, 68 nt
Filed under: Calanus sinicus
Lineage: Eukaryota; Metazoa; Arthropoda; Copepoda; Calanoida; Calanidae
Description: tRNA-Asn
Source: RNAcentral